This 164-nucleotide non-coding RNA is filed under the name marine eukaryotic metagenome. RNAcentral's name for it is "FMN riboswitch (RFN element)". It matches the Rfam family "FMN riboswitch aptamer (RFN element)". From Rfam's summary of the family: The RFN element is a highly conserved domain that is found frequently in the 5'-untranslated regions of prokaryotic mRNAs that encode for flavin mononucleotide (FMN) biosynthesis and transport proteins. The record is from RNAcentral.
UGUUCUCGGGGCGGGGUGGAAUUCCCCACCGGCGGUAAAAAGGCUAGAAUUCCGGCCUUUAAGCCCGCGAGCGCCUUCGGACCGAGCUGUAGUUUCGGUUCAAGGGGUCAGCAGACUCGGUGCAAAUCCGAGGCCGACGGUUACAGUCCGGAUGAAAGAGAACG